This 342-nucleotide unclassified non-coding RNA is filed under the name soil metagenome. RNAcentral describes it as "partial contains 5.8S ribosomal RNA, internal transcribed spacer 2, and large subunit ribosomal RNA". The stretch from base 1 to 120 matches the Rfam family "5.8S ribosomal RNA", at positions 35 to 154 of the family's 154-position model. The record is from RNAcentral.
GAUGAAGAACGUAGCGAAAUGCGAUAAGGAGUGUGAAUUGCAGAAUUCAGUGAAUCAUCGAAUCUUUGAACGCACAUUGCGGCCAUAGGUAUUCCUUUGGCCAUGCCUGUUCGAGCGUCAUUUACACCCUCAAGCCUAGCUUGGUGUUGGGCGUCUGUCCCGCCGUUCUCGCGCGCGGACUCGCCUCAAAGUCAUUGGCGGCGGUCGUGCCGGCCCCCUCGCGCAGCACAUUUGCGCUUCUCGGAGGCCCGGCGGAUCCGCGCUCCAGCAAGACCUUUCACGACUUGACCUCGGAUCAGGUAGGGAUACCCGCUGAACUUAAGCAUAUCAAUAAGCGGAGGA